Molecule: ribosomal RNA, 253 nt
Filed under: uncultured bacterium
Lineage: Bacteria
Description: partial 16S ribosomal RNA
Rfam family: Bacterial small subunit ribosomal RNA
Source: RNAcentral
GACAGAGGGUGCAAACGUUGUUCGGAAUUACUGGGCGUAAAGCGCGUGUAGGCGGCCAUCUAAGUCGGGCGUGAAAUCCCACGGCUCAACCGUGGAAGUGCACUCGAAACUGGAUGGCUAGAGUCCUGGAGAGGAAGGUGGAAUGCUUGGUGUAGAGGUGAAAUUCGUAGAUAUUCGGAAGAACACCAGUGGCGAAGGCGACUUACUGGACACAUAUUGACGCUGAGGUGCGAAAGCGUGGGGAGCAAACAGG